This 451-nucleotide ribosomal RNA is filed under the name uncultured bacterium. RNAcentral's name for it is "partial 16S ribosomal RNA". It matches the Rfam family "Bacterial small subunit ribosomal RNA", at positions 29 to 523 of the family's 1533-position model. The record is from RNAcentral.
AAUGAACGCUGGCGGCAGGCCUAACACAUGCAAGUCGAACGGGCAUCUUCGGGUGCUAGUGGCGGACGGGUGAGUAACGCGUGGGAACGUGCCCCUUUCUACGGAAUAGCCCUGGGAAACUGGGAGUAAUACCGUAUAAGCUCGAGAGAGGAAAGAUUUAUCGGGAAGGGAUCGGCCCGCGUUGGAUUAGGUAGUUGGUGGGGUAAUGGCCUACCAAGCCGACGAUCCAUAGCUGGUUUGAGAGGAUGAUCAGCCACACUGGGACUGAGACACGGCCCAGACUCCUACGGGAGGCAGCAGUGGGGAAUCUUAGACAAUGGGGGAAACCCUGAUCUAGCCAUGCCGCGUGAUCGAUGAAGGCCUUAGGGUUGUAAAGAUCUUUCAGAUGGGAAGAUAAUGACGGUACCAUCAGAAGAAGCCCCGGCUAACUCCGUGCCAGCAGCCGCGGUAA